Molecule: ribosomal RNA, 450 nt
Filed under: uncultured bacterium
Lineage: Bacteria
Description: SSU rRNA
Rfam family: Bacterial small subunit ribosomal RNA
Source: RNAcentral
AGGAUGAACGCUGGCGGUCUGCUUAACACAUGCAAGUCGAACGGAGUACCUCGGUACUUAGUGGCGGACGGGUGAGUAACGCGUGAGAAUCUGCCCUUAGGUCGGGGACAACCAUUGGAAACGAUGGCUAAUACCGGAUAAGCCGAGAGGUAAAAGAUUAAUUGCCUAGGGAAGAGCUCGCGUCUGAUUAGCUAGUUGGUGAGGUAAAGGCUCACCAAGGCAUCGAUCAGUAGCUGGUCUGAGAGGACGAUCAGCCGGAUUGGGACUGAGAUACGGCCCAGACUCCUACGGGGGGCAGCAAUUAGGAAUCUUGCGCAAUGGGGGAAACCCUGACGCAGCGACGUCGCGUGGAGGAUGAAAUCUUUCGGGAUGUAAACUCCUUUUGUCUGGGAAGAACAAUGACGGUACCAGACGAAUAACGCCCCGGACUAACUACGUGCCAGCAGCCGC